GGGCAACCUGAUGCAAGAAGGUUGGACGGAACCGACUGGAUAACAUAAAUCCUUAAGGGUUUGGGGUUGAUUGGGUUCUCCCAUUGUAGAAGUUAUUGGGUUUGAAAUAGAAAUCCAAUUAAUUCUUACUAGUCGACCCGACACCGUUUUCCACGAAGAAAGUGAAGAGAGUACUUUUUUUUCUAAUUUUUUUUCAAUCAAGUUUUCAAUCAAAAGAAGAGAAAAGAAAAGAAGAGAGGUCCUGACUAAGAUUUUCUUAAUUCUAGACAGCUUUUAACUGCCAAGGUCGCCUUUGAGCAGUCCAAGUUCGAAAUCGACUAACCGAAUCAGUCAGAUAAGUAUAAGAUUGGUGGAAGAUUUUUCGUGCUUUCGUAAUAGACCUAAUUAGAUAACCAGCUUUCUUCAGAACGUAGUUCUUGAACUACUUUCUUAGACACUGAUAGGCUAACCCACUUGAAUCCGAUCAAACUCUUGAGUUUUCUUAUCCUAAUGAGCUCGAAUGUCCCUAAGGCUGGCAUCUAAUUCAUUUUAUUUAAGGAUUAGGUUAUGUAGAUGCAAGAAGAUGAUUUGUAGGCUAAGAAAGGGUGAUCAAAUCUCCACCUUAUCUGAUUAAUGGGUGAUGUUCUGAAGAUAUAUUAUGAAAAUGCAAUACAAAGAAAGAA
RNAcentral lists this long non-coding RNA (662 nucleotides) under Elaeis guineensis (African oil palm). RNAcentral's name for it is "long non-coding RNA (EGUI_LNC005895)". Lineage: Eukaryota; Viridiplantae; Streptophyta; Magnoliopsida; Arecales; Arecaceae. The record is from RNAcentral.